GUGCUUGCUUGGGUAGCACAUAUACCAAAAUUGGAAUGACCCCUGCACAGGGAUGAAAUGCAAAUUCGUGAAGUAUACCGCAUUUUU
Molecule: small nuclear RNA, 87 nt
Organism: Chlorocebus sabaeus (green monkey)
Lineage: Eukaryota; Metazoa; Chordata; Mammalia; Primates; Cercopithecidae
Source: Ensembl